RNAcentral lists this unclassified non-coding RNA (1615 nucleotides) under Hevea brasiliensis (rubber tree). Lineage: Eukaryota; Viridiplantae; Streptophyta; Magnoliopsida; Malpighiales; Euphorbiaceae. The record is from RNAcentral.
UUGAAGCUAUUGAUAGAAAGCAAUAUGGACAUUUCUUUUUACUGUAAUGGCACAGUUUUAUUACAAUAGUGGUCACCGUAGGCUAUAUCUUCCUCUUGCAGUUCUUACAGCUCGAAGAAUUCUCCUUUUAUUUUUAAUAGGUAAACUCUUUUUGUCAUCAUCCAAUUUUUGCCUCUUAGUUUCUUGAUCUUCAACUUUUCCAUUUGCUUCAUCCUUGGCUUGACUAUUUUUCCGUUUAAGGAACUUAACAAGUCCAUCAAGAGCAAUAUCAACAUCUUCAGUCUUCAUAAGCUCCUCUGCCACCUCUGCCGGCGUGACGUUGGUAUUCUCAAUUAGGCCUUCAAUUUCUCCAUAGAGACGGUGAUACUUACAUUGAAUGCCAAGAUAAUUAGAGGCUAGAAGAUUGAACCCUUGAGUGGUACAGUAAGACAGUUUAAUAUGCACAUCCAUUCUACCUGGACGCAGCAGAGCAGGGUCAAGCCGAUCCUUAUGAUUGGUGGUGAAGAUAAUGAUUCUCUCAUCACCGCAGCUGGACCACAACCCAUCAAUGAAAUUCAGUAUACCCGAGAGUGUCAACCUGGAGCUGGAACAGGGAGCUUCAAAGUCUACAUUUUGCUGCCGAUCCUGCAUCUCGACACUGCAAUCAAUAUCUUCAAUCACCAAAAUAGAGCGAUUUGUAGUGGACAACAAAAUCCUUCUCAAAUCAGAAUUAGAAUAGAUACUAGUGAGCUCCAAAUCAUAGAUAUCAAACUUGAGAUAGUUAGCCAUAGCUGCAAUCAAACUAGAUUUCCCAGUCCCGGGAGGCCCAUACAAUAAAUACCCCCGUUUCCAAGCUUUACCCACUUUUUUAUAAAACUCUUUUCUCCUCACAAACAUCUCCAUGUCAUCAAUUAUCAUCUUCUUCAACGCGGAAUCCAUGGCUAUAGUAUCAAAAGUAGCUGGAUGCUCAAGAUUAAUAGAACCCCACAUGCCAACACUCCCAUCCUCAUCGCCCAUUGGACAAUCACGAUUAUAAAGCUUGAUCACCUUCUCUUCCUCUUUGAUGGAAUUAGCUCUAGCCAUAACAAAAGGCAAAUAAGAACCCAUAACUCUGUCCUUAUAUUUCUUGUUGAAUGACAACUCAAAACACCUCUUUUCACCACCGCCUGAAUAGUGGUGGUUGUUGUUUUGCGGCUCGAUGCAAACAUACCUCCAUUUAAGCUUCAUAUCCUCAUAAAAAUCAUUCACUUCUUCUCCUUUUUCGAUAGCGAUAGAGAAAUUCUUCUGCCUGGGGGUCUUACUGACUUUGAGCCUGUCAGUGGAGGGGCUAAUUUUAGUACGGAGGUAGGUUUCGGCGGCGUCGUACACUUGGUUGCGGGUGAUGCCGCUAUACUCGUCGAUGACGAGGGUAAGAUUAGAAGAAAGAGGACUAAAGAGGUGGUGAAUGGCUGAGGAGAGAUAAGAGCGAAGCUCGUAAGGGAUGAAUUCAUUAGCCAUGGAUCGAACCAGCAUGAUGGACGCUGCGAGGGAGGCGUAGACAGAAAACAAUCCGGAGAUUGAUUGAGGCAUGUUUGCUUGAGAAAACAUGGUGCCUGCAAGGUGCUUGAUUCGAGAGAGAAGGACCAGUGAGAAUCCU